This 468-nucleotide ribosomal RNA is filed under the name uncultured bacterium. RNAcentral describes it as "partial 16S ribosomal RNA". It matches the Rfam family "Bacterial small subunit ribosomal RNA", at positions 28 to 507 of the family's 1533-position model. The record is from RNAcentral.
GACGAACGCUGGCGGCGUGCUUAACACAUGCAAGUCGAACGGAAAGGCCCUGCUUUUGUGGGGUGCUCGAGUGGCGAACGGGUGAGUAACACGUGAGUAACCUGCCCUUGACUUUGGGAUAACUUCAGGAAACUGGGGCUAAUACCGGAUAGGAGCUCCUGCUGCAUGGUGGGGGUUGGAAAGUUUCGGCGGUUGGGGAUGGUCUCGCGGCUUAUCAGCUUGUUGGUGGGGUAGUGGCUUACCAAGGCUUUGACGGGUAGCCGGCCUGGGAGGGUGACCGGCGACAUGGGGACUAAGGGACGGCCCAGACGCCUACGGGAGGCAGCAGGGGGGAAUAUUGCAGAAUGGGCGGAAGCCUGAUGCAGCAACGCCGCGUGCGGGAUGACGGCCUUCGGGUUGUAAACCGCUUUCGCCUGUGACGAAGCGUGAGUGACGGUAAUGGGUAAAGAAGCACCGGCUAACUACGUG